AGGCGGCCUGCUGGACGACAACUGACGCUGAGGCGCGAAAGCGUGGGGAGCAAACAGGAUUAGAUACCCUGGUAGUCCACGCCGUAAACGAUGGAUACUAGGUGUGGGGGGACUGACCCCCUCCGUGCCGCAGUAAACACAAUAAGUAUCCCACCUGGGGAGUACGACCGCAAGGCUGAAACUCAAAGGAAUUGACGGGGGCCCGCACAAGCAGUGGAUUAUGUGGUUUAAUUCGACGCAACGCGAAGAACCUUACCGGGAUUUGACAUCCUGCUAACGAAGUAGAGAUACAUUAGGUGCCCUUCGGGGAAAGCAGAGACAGGUGGUGCAUGGUUGUCGUCAGCUCGUGUCGUGAGAUGUUGGGUUAAGUCCCGCAACGAGCGCAACCCUUAUUGUUAGUUGCUACGGAAGAGCACUCUAGCGAGACUGCCGUUGACAAAACGGAGGAAGGCGGGGACGACGUCAAAUCAUCAUGCCCCUUAUGUCCCGGGCUACACACGUAAUACAAUGGCGUUAAACAGAGGGAAGCAAAGCCGCGAGCAGAGCAAAACCCUAAAAGGCGUCUCAGUUCGGAUCGCAGUCUGCAACUCGACUGCGUGA
This 600-nucleotide ribosomal RNA is filed under the name uncultured bacterium. RNAcentral's name for it is "bacterial SSU rRNA". It matches the Rfam family "Bacterial small subunit ribosomal RNA", at positions 719 to 1323 of the family's 1533-position model. The record is from RNAcentral.